CCUGGUGGUCCAGUGGUUAGGAUUUCGCAGUUUCACUGCCGUGACGAAGGUUCAAUUCCCUUCCCAGG
This 68-nucleotide transfer RNA is filed under the name Bos taurus (domestic cattle). It matches the Rfam family "tRNA". Rfam says of the family: Transfer RNA (tRNA) molecules are approximately 80 nucleotides in length. Their secondary structure includes four short double-helical elements and three loops (D, anti-codon, and T loops). Further hydrogen bonds mediate the characteristic L-shaped molecular structure. tRNAs have two regions of fundamental functional importance: the anti-codon, which is responsible for specific mRNA codon recognition, and the 3' end, to which the tRNAs corresponding amino acid is attached (by aminoacyl-tRNA synthetases). tRNAs cope with the degeneracy of the genetic code in two manners: having more than one tRNA (with a specific anti-codon) for a particular amino acid; and 'wobble' base-pairing, i.e. permitting non-standard base-pairing at the 3rd anti-codon position. Lineage: Eukaryota; Metazoa; Chordata; Mammalia; Artiodactyla; Bovidae. The record is from Rfam by way of RNAcentral. RNAcentral also lists the same sequence under 4 other names.